AGUGAACGCUGGCGGUAGGCCUAACACAUGCAAGUCGAACGGCAGCACAGUAAGAGCUUGCUCUUACGGGUGGCGAGUGGCGGACGGGUGAGGAAUACAUCGGAAUCUACUUUUUCGUGGGGGAUAACGUAGGGAAACUUACGCUAAUACCGCAUACGACCUACGGGUGAAAGCAGGGGAUCUUCGGACCUUGCGCGAUUGAAUGAGCCGAUGUCGGAUUAGCUAGUUGGCGGGGUAAAGGCCCACCAAGGCGACGAUCCGUAGGUCUGAGAGGAUGAUCAGCCACACUGGAACUGAGACACGGUCCAGACUCCUACGGGAGGCAGCAGUGGGGGAUAUUGGACAAAGGGCGCAAGCCUGAUCCAGCCAUACCGCGUGGGUGAAGAAGGCCUUCGGGUUGUAAAGCCCUUUUGUUGGGAAGGAAAAGCAGCAGGUUAAUACCCCGCUGUUCUGACGGUACCCAAAGAAUAAGCACCGGCUAACUUCGUG
Molecule: ribosomal RNA, 489 nt
Filed under: uncultured bacterium
Lineage: Bacteria
Description: partial 16S ribosomal RNA
Rfam family: Bacterial small subunit ribosomal RNA
Source: RNAcentral